This 909-nucleotide ribosomal RNA is filed under the name uncultured bacterium. Its description in RNAcentral is "bacterial SSU rRNA". It matches the Rfam family "Bacterial small subunit ribosomal RNA", at positions 33 to 926 of the family's 1533-position model. The record is from RNAcentral.
ACGCUGGCGGCGUGCCUAAUACAUGCAAGUAGAACGCUGAAAGAGGAGCUUGCUUCUCUGGAUGAGUUGCGAACGGGUGAGUAACGCGUAGGUAACCUGCCUGGUAGCGGGGGAUUACUAUUGGAAACGAUAGCUAAUACCGCAUAAGAGUAGAUGUUGCAUGACAUUUGCUUAAAAGGUGCAAUUGCAUCACUACCAGAUGGACCUGCGUUGUAUUAGCUAGUUGGUGGGGUAACGGCUCACCAAGGCGACGAUACAUAGCCGACCUGAGAGGGUGAUCGGCCACACUGGGACUGAGACACGGCCCAGACUCCUACAGGAGGCAGCAGUAGGGAAUCUUCGGCAAUGGACGGAAGUCUGACCGAGCAACGCCGCGUGAGUGAAGAAGGUUUUCGGAUCGUAAAGCUCUGUUGUAAGAGAAGAACGAGUGUGAGAGUGGAAAGUUCACACUGUGACGGUAUCUUACCAGAAAGGGACGGCUAACUACGUGCCAGCAGCCGCGGUAAUACGUAGGUCCCGAGCGUUGUCCGGAUUUAUUGGGCGUAAAGCGAGCGCAGGCGGUUAGAUAAGUCUGAAGUUAAAGGCUGUGGCUUAACCAUAGUACGCUUUGGAAACUGUUUAACUUGAGUGCAAGAGGGGAGAGUGGAAUUCCAUGUGUAGCGGUGAAAUGCGUAGAUAUAUGGAGGAACACCGGUGGCGAAAGCGGCUCUCUGGCUUGUAACUGACGCUGAGGCUCGAAAGCGUGGGGAGCAAACAGGAUUAGAUACCCUGGUAGUCCGCGCCGUAAACGAUGAGUGCUAGGUGUUAGACCCUUUCCGGGGUUUAGUGCCGCAGCUAACGCAUUAACCACUCCGCCUGGGGAGUACGACCGCAAGGUUGAAACUCAAAGGAAUUGACGGGGGCCCGCAC